GGAGGAUCAUUAUCGUAGGGCUUCGGCCCUGUCGAGAUAGAACCCUUGCCUUUUUGAGUACCUUUCGUUUCCUCGGCAGGCUCGCCUGCCAAUGGGGACCACAAAAAACACUUUGCAGUACCUGUAACAGUCUGAACAAACAAACAAAAAUUAAAACUUUCAACAACGGAUCUCUUGGUUCUGGCAUCGAUGAAGAACGCAGCGAAAUGCGAUAAGUAGUGUGAAUUGCAGAAUUCAGUGAAUCAUCGAAUCUUUGAACGCACAUUGCGCCCUUUGGUAUUCCUUAGGGCAUGCCUGUUCGAGCGUCAUUUAAACCUUCAAGCUAAGCUUGGUGUUGGGUGACUGUCCGCUUCACGGCGGACUCGCCUCAAAAUUAUUGGCGGCCGGUACAUUGGCUUCGAGCGCAGCAGAAACGCGAACUCGGGCCCGUCGUAUUGGCUCCCAGAAGCUAUCUUCACAAUUUUGACCUCGGAUCAGGUAGGGAUACCCACUGAACUUAAGCAUAUCAAUAAGCGGAGGA
Molecule: ribosomal RNA, 520 nt
Filed under: uncultured Pleosporales
Lineage: Eukaryota; Fungi; Ascomycota; Dothideomycetes; Pleosporales
Description: eukaryotic LSU rRNA
Rfam family: 5.8S ribosomal RNA (bases 155-308)
Source: RNAcentral